CUCUCCUUUAAAAAUUAAAUAUGUACAGUAGUGAUAUGUGUAUUAAUUUACUAAUGCAUUUGAGAACACUCACCAAGUUGAUGCCAGACUUUUUUCAAACUAGUACUGUACACCAACAUUUAAAUGUUUAACCCAUUAAGCUGCAGAGCUUCCCCAUUGACGAGUAAAAUCGUCUGGCAUUAGACAAGUAAAAAAAAUAAGUUGGGCGCACUGGAGCGCAUUGCGGCUCAAUGGGUUAACUAGAGACAUUGUCAUAUUUCUUGGUUAACCCAUUAAGCUGCAGAGCUUCCCCAUUGACGAAUAAAAUCGUCUGGUGUUAGACAAGUAAAAAAAAAGUAGGGCGCACUGGGGCGCAUUCUGGCUCAAU
Non-coding RNA from Paramuricea clavata, 367 nucleotides. The record is from the annotation of a GenBank genome assembly. NCBI's taxonomy places the organism in Eukaryota, Metazoa, Cnidaria, Anthozoa, Malacalcyonacea, Plexauridae.